This is a long non-coding RNA of Sinocyclocheilus rhinocerous, 96 nucleotides long. RefSeq lists it as uncharacterized. Lineage: Eukaryota; Metazoa; Chordata; Actinopteri; Cypriniformes; Cyprinidae. The transcript is spliced from 3 exons. The record is from RefSeq and is a predicted model, not a curated record.
UGGGUGCCGUCAGAAUGAGACAAGGGCGUAAAUUUCAGUUGGGGGGGUCAAUAAACAUAAAAUUUCUCAAGAGCGAUUUUUGAAGGGGACACAAAU